Molecule: ribosomal RNA, 492 nt
Filed under: uncultured bacterium
Lineage: Bacteria
Description: partial 16S ribosomal RNA
Rfam family: Bacterial small subunit ribosomal RNA
Source: RNAcentral
AGUGAACGCUGGCGGUAGGCCUAACACAUGCAAGUCGAACGGCAGCACAGUAAGAGCUUGCUGUUACGGGUGCCGAGUGGCGGACGGGGGCGGAGUACAUCGGAAUCUACUUUUUAGUAGGGGAUAACGUAGGGAAACUUACGCUAAUAGCGCAUACGGCCUACGGGUGGAAGCAUCGGAUCUUCGGACCUUGCGCGAUUGAAUGAGCCGAUGUCGGAUUAGCUAGUUGGCGGGGUAAAGGCCCACCAAGGCGACGAUCCGUAGCUGGUCUGAGAGGAUGAUCAGCCACACUGGAACUGAGACACGGUCCAGACUCCUACGGGAGGCAGCAGUGGGGAAUAUUGGACAAUGGGCGCAAGCCUGAUCCAGCCAUGCCGCGUGGGUGAAGAAGGUCUUCGGGUUGUAAAGCCCUUUUGUUGGGAAAGAAAAGCAGUAGGUUAAUACCCCGCUGUUCUGACGGUACCCAAAGAAUAAGCACCGGCUAACUUCGUG